This is a long non-coding RNA of Ipomoea nil (Japanese morning glory), 105 nucleotides long. RefSeq lists it as uncharacterized. The transcript has 3 exons. The record is from RefSeq and is a predicted model, not a curated record. NCBI's taxonomy places the organism in Eukaryota, Viridiplantae, Streptophyta, Magnoliopsida, Solanales, Convolvulaceae.
AAGCAUGUGCUCCAUCUCAAUUACAUACAACAACUCACCAUAGGAAGCAGCCAUCAAAUAUUACAAUAGCAGAGCUGGUGGCGAUGGGGCAGUUUCGGGUUACUA